GCCCCUACGGGACGCAGCAGUGGGGAAUAUUGGGCAAUGGAGGAAACUCUGACCCAGCAAUGCCGCGUGAAUGAAGAAGGUCUUCGGAUUGUAAAGUUCUUUAGUCAGGGAAGAAGUCAAUGACGGUACCUGAAGAAUAAGCUCCGGCUAACUACGUGCCAGCAGCCGCGGUAAUACGUAGGGAGCAAGCGUUGUUCGGAAUGACUGGGCGUAAAGGGUGCGUAGGCGGCCUGCUAAGUCUGGAGUGAAAGGUACCGGCUCAACCGGUACAGGCUCUGGAAACUGGCGGGCUAGAGAGCAGGAGG
This 305-nucleotide ribosomal RNA is filed under the name uncultured bacterium. RNAcentral's name for it is "bacterial SSU rRNA". It matches the Rfam family "Bacterial small subunit ribosomal RNA", at positions 335 to 655 of the family's 1533-position model. The record is from RNAcentral.